AUGAAUUCUGAUAUGUCGCAUGUUAUUGAUGAUGCCACUUCUGCUAUGCAUGAUGAAACUACUUCUGUGCGUGAUACUACUUUGCCAUUAGGUGAAUUUCUAGAUGAACAACUUGCUAGAUUUAGGGGGAAUGAAAAUAUUGAAGAACCUAUUAUUGAUGAUAGUGAUGAUGAAGGUCCCCCCAAUGAUUAUGUUUUACCUGUUGUUCCUAAGGGUUAUGUUAUGCAUGAAACAGCUGCUAUGGAAAUUCUUGCUUGCAAUGAUAGAAAUGAUCUUAAGAAAUUAUUAGCUAAAUGGAUGCAGCAGUCUCUUAAUGCUAGAAUGAAACCCGAUCCUGCUUUUGCUACUUCAACUAUCUGUGCUACUGAUAAGGAUUAUGAAUUCUCUGUUGAUCCUGAUAUUAUUACUUUAGUUGAAUCUGAUCCUUUUUAUGGCCUUGAAUCUGAAACUGUUGUGGCACAUCUUACCAAGUUGAAUGAUAUAGCCACCCUGUUUACUAAUGAUGAGAAGUCUCACUAUUUAUAUAUCCUCAAGAUAUUUCCAUUCUCAUUAAAGGGUGACGCUAAGACUUGGUAUAAUUCUCUUGCUCCUGGUUGUGUGCGUAGUCCCCAGGCUAUGAUUUAUAACUUUUCUGCUAAAUAUUUCCCUGCUCAUAAGAAACAAGCUGCCUUGCGGGAAAUAUAUAAUUUUGUGCAGAUCAAAGAAGAGAGUCUCCCACAAGCUUGGGGGAGGCUUCUCCGGUUACUUAAUGCUUUGCCUGAUCAUCUUCUUAAGAAAAAUGAAAUACUUGAUAUCUUUUAUAAUGGACUAACCGAUGCUUCCAAGGACUACUUGAAUAGUUGUGCUGGUUGUGUUUUCAGGGAAAGAACAGUCGACGAAGCUGAAAUACUAUUGAAUAAUAUGUUGACUAAUGAAAAUAAUUGGACUCUUCCCGAGCCAGUUCGUGAAGUAAUUCCUGAACCAAUUGAGCCAACUCCUGAGCCUAUUCCUAAACCCACUCCGAAGAAGAGAGGUGUUUUAUUUCUCAGUCCUGAAGAUAUGCAAGAGGCAAAGAAAUCAAUGAAAGAAAAAGGUAUUAAAGCUGAAGAUGUUAAGAAUUUACCUCCUAUUGAAGAAAUACAUGGUCUUAAUUUACCGCCUGAAGAACCACAUUGUCUUGAUAACCCGACACAGGUAGUAAAGAUAAAUUCUCUCUAUAGAUAUGAUAAAGUUGAAGUACCCCCUACUAAAUUUCAUAGCCCAUGCUUAGAUGAAUUUGAUGACUUUAUGGCUAGACAAGAAAGUUUUAAUGCUUAUGUUGGUAGAGAGUUAAAGAAUAAUGCUUUCGAGAUAGGACGCGUAGGUGAUAAUCUUGCUAGAGUUAAAGAUGAACUUCACCGCAUUAGCAAAUAUGCUUCUAUGGUUGCUACUCAAGCUGAGCAAGUACUUAAAGCUCAAAAUGAUUUGCUUGAGGAAUUAAAUAAUAAAAAUGACUUUGCUGUUAGAGUGGCUACUAGAACUGGUAGAAUGACUCAGGAACCUUUGUAUCCUGAAGGCCACCCUAAGAGAAUUGAGCAAGAUUCUCAGAGAAAUAAUUUAGAGGCACCUAGUUCUUCUAAAAAGAAGAAGAAGAAAAACGAUAGAACUUUGCAUGCUUCUAGUGAACCUACUGUAGACACAGCUGAGAAUCCCAAUGAUAUUUCUAUUUAUGAUGCUGAAACUCAAUCAGGUGAUGAACAUGAACCUAGUGAUAAUGUUAAUGAUAAUGUUCAUGUUGAUGCUCAACCUAGCAAAGACAAUGAUAUAGAGAUUGAACCUGCUGUUGAUCUUGAUAACCCACAAUCAAAGAAUCAACGAUAUGAUAAGAAAGAUUUUGUUGCUAGGAAGCACGGUAAAGAAAGAGAACCAUGGGUUCAGAAACCCAUGCCCUUUCCUCCUAAACCAUCCAAGUCAAAGGAUGAUGAGGAUUUUGAGCGCUUUGCUGAAAUGAUUAGACCUAUUUUCUUACGUAUGCGCUUAACUGAUAUGCUUAAAGUAAAUCCUUAUGCUAAAUAUAUGAAGGAUAUCAUCACAAAUAAACGAAAGAUACCGGAAGCUGAAAUUUCCACCAUGCUUGCUAAUUACACUUUUAAGGGUGGAAUACUAAAGAAACUUGGAGAUCCGGGUGUACCAACUAUACCAUGCUCUAUUAAAAGAAAUUAUGUUAAAACUGCUUUAUGUGAUCUUGGAGCCGGUGUUAGUGUUAUGCCUCUCUCUUUAUAUUGUAGACUUGAAUUGAAUAAGUUGACACCUACUGAAAUAUCUUUGCAAAUGGCUGAUAAAUCAACUACUAUACCUGUCGGUAUUUGUGAGGAUGUGCCUGGUGUGGUUGCAAAUUUCACUAUCUUAACGGACUUUGUUAUUUUUGAUAUUCCCGAGGACGAUAGCAUGUCUAUUAUUCUUGGUAGACCUUUUCUUAAUACUGUAGGGGCUGUUAUUGAUUGCAACAAAGGUAAUGUCACUUUUCAUGUUAAUGGUAAUGAGCAUACGGUACACUUUUCGAGGAAACAAUCUCAAGUUCAUAGCAUCAAUUCUAUUGAAAAAGUUCCAACUAUCAUUUUUGGAGGCUUUGAAUUUCCUCUCCCUACUGUCAAGAAAAAGUACGAUAUUCUUAUUGUUGGGGAUUUUCAUAUCCCCGUUGAGGUAACUUAG
Molecule: ribosomal RNA, 2670 nt
Filed under: Triticum aestivum (bread wheat)
Lineage: Eukaryota; Viridiplantae; Streptophyta; Magnoliopsida; Poales; Poaceae
Description: partial small subunit ribosomal RNA
Source: RNAcentral